RNAcentral lists this long non-coding RNA (1150 nucleotides) under Homo sapiens (human). RNAcentral describes it as "HSALNT0343791". Lineage: Eukaryota; Metazoa; Chordata; Mammalia; Primates; Hominidae. The record is from RNAcentral.
UUUCUACUGCUCUGCAGGAGGAUCCGAUGACUGUGACCGACUGGGACACCGACCCAGGAAUGCCUGGCGGGGUGGAGGGUCUGGAGACUGCAAUUGAGAUUUCACCUGAUUCUUGGCCACAAAGUUUCAAGGGAACCAGAGCUAAUGAAGACAGCAUGGAAGGGCACCGCCGAGACCUACCUGUGGGAGUCCACCUCACCCUCAAGAACAGCUACCAUUUUAACACAGAUGGAUAAACCCCAUGAAAGUGAACUUCCUAAAUGCAAAUUCUGAUCUUGAAGCCCCAGCUGGCACAUCUACUGGAGACCCUCCCAAGCAACAAGAUGUAGAUGCUUUAGAGAUAACAAACUAUACAAGUUGUCUUCCAUUCUUUCUCCUUCCUCUAUUUUCAACACGGAUAAAAUACAUAUAUAUUUAUCUUGCUGAGCUCAGUAGGAUUAUUUAGCUUUAUUUCCAUGGCUGCCUUUUCUUAAUGUAAUAGAAUUUCCAAUCGAGCUUAUUACUUCCUUCCGUCACAAGCCUGAGGUCCUUUCACACCCAUCCUGUCCUUGGCAAAGAUCUUUGGAAAGUAGCCUGGGACAUACCUAGUGGUAAGCCACCUGCUCUGGGUUGAGGGUGGAUCUAUUCUAGUCAGAGGCUUUGUGAUCUGGACAAAGGAAUUGAGUAUGUGGCUGUCAAACUGUCAGGCAAUACUAAAUUUGGCUGGCCAGCUGAAUUCUAGCAGAAAAUCAUGCAAAAUAAGGUUUAGCAAUUGGGGAAAAAUGGCCCACAGGAAAAACAAAGGGAUGAAAUUCCGUAGGACUACACGGCCAUAGAAUUCUAACUUGAGGGCUGCAACCAGCUAUGUGACCUUGUAGUACAAGGACCAGUCUUCAGAUACAAAAUAGAGUUUGGAGUUAAAGGGAUCUUUGAGAAGAAGCCAUUAUCCACCCCCUCCUCCCAAUUUUAUAUGCCCUAAGAAAAAGGUUUCUUUCAACUUAGAAAGGUAUGAUUCUUGAAGUGCACUUCCUCCGAGUUUUCCUGAGCCUCUCAAUCAAAAUGACUUGCACCUGCCCAUCCAUUCCCAUUGGCUUAUGCUCCUACCCUGCAGUAUUGGCUUCAUUAUGCCUCACCUUGUACACCUGUCUGAUUCCUCUCCUAGAUUAUCAGC